This 28-nucleotide non-coding RNA is filed under the name Rattus norvegicus (Norway rat). The record is from RNAcentral. Lineage: Eukaryota; Metazoa; Chordata; Mammalia; Rodentia; Muridae.
UCCAGAACCAUUUGUAUCUUCUUGUACA